GAGCAUUCUGUGAGUUCUCUGGUUGCCAUCAGCACCUGUACUGCUCCACACUAGCACUUCCAGAUGAGCUGGAGGGCAACAAAAUUAGAACUUGGACAGCAAAAGACAAAAAUUAAACUCUUGUCAGUGGUCUGGUAAAUGUAAUUUUGGAAAAUAUGCCUAUAACAUAAAGGAUACUUCUAUAAAUUUAUUCUUAUGUGCUAGAAAAGCUCACCUCAUGUCCCUAUAGAUAAAAAAGCUGGUUCAGCCUGAAUUGAGUCUACAGAUUUUGAAUGUACAUCUUGGCUGAGGUCUAAGAGUAACACUGAUGCUAUGAGCCUGGCUAUCACAAGUCCUUCCCUGGAGAAAAUGAGGUUGAUAUACACCCAGGGACAAGGGAGAAGAGAUGGCAACUGCCAGAGCUGCUCUGAGAUGACUACAGUCAAUCUUAGCACCAGAGUAAGACCCCCACCUUCCUGUUCGACAUCCCCUGCUCCUGCAGUCCAAGGGCUUGUUUUGCCUGGCUCCAUGGCUAUUUUCCCACCUAGAAAUGUGCAUGCUGAAUGUGGUAAGGAUUGAAAAAACUGUUAUAAAGCUUAUUUUAUCUCUCUGCUUCUCUCAAAGCAUGUUUUAAAAUUUAAUAAAUUGAGCUUUCACAUUUUUUUCCCUUCUUUCCAGGGGGAACAGUGAACACAAUAAAACUAUUAAGUAGUGCUUUGAAUCUAAGGAAUUACGCAAGCGAUGGGAUGCUCCUCCCUAUGUCAGCUGUGUGGGGAAGGGGUUUGGUGCUCAGGAUGAGCCUCCCACUCCUCCUGUACACCCAUUAGGAAGGUUUGGACCUUAAAAGCAGUGUGAUUUCAGUGUGGUUUCCACCUGGCACUCUUGGAAGUACCAAGUGACUUUGUUGGGUGAGGAUCAUUCAACCUAGGUUAAGCUUUGUGCCCCAGGCUGUGGUCCUAAACUAGGUGGUUCCUGAUGUGCCAACAGCUGGAGUAUCUUAACAAUAUAAAUUCUGUCUGAAGGAAGGCACAAGGUGGUACAUAUAAGGAGUUCUCCAGAAGCGCUGUAUGGUCUUCAUGUUGGCUUAAUGUAUACACCAACUCCCUGUUGUACCUUCUACUUGUCCAGCAGUUUAGGACUGUUCUGCUGCACUGAGAAGAUAUUAGGGGCUGACUUCCACAGAGACUUUCUCCACAGACCAAUGUUGUCCAGAAAGAGCAUCUACAAAAGCACCACACUCCUUGCCAUGAAUUGCAGCUCUGCAAAGGUACUGGACCGUAUUCAAGUACCCCUGUGGCAGGAUGCUGCAGCUAGGCAGCAUUCCUGCCUAGGAAAAUGCAGCUGUGGAGUUCUCUCCUUCUCAGAAGGGACCACGAGACUGAGUGUGUUAAAGUUACAUUAUUAACCAUGGUGUUUGAUGACAAAGACAUGGCGCUGUUGGGCAGCAGCACCACAGUGCUGGGUGCAGGAGAAGAGGGUGUGCCACAGACAGGAGACGACAUUUGGGAAGGAGUUUUAGCUGAAAGACUGUAACAAUCCCACUCUUUGCUUGAUGGGAAGCCAACCUAAGUGUGAUUUUGCCUGAAAGGAAAAGUGGUGCUAUGAACUUUUGUAAACUGAUGAUCUUUUUCUCCCAUCUAGUCAGUUUGCUCCUGGAAAGUCUGUA
Non-coding RNA from Taeniopygia guttata (zebra finch), 1645 nucleotides. The record is from RefSeq and is a predicted model, not a curated record. Lineage: Eukaryota; Metazoa; Chordata; Aves; Passeriformes; Estrildidae.